UACGUAGGGCGCGAGCGUUGUCCGGAAUUAUUGGGCGUAAAGAGCUCGUAGGCGGUUUGUCGCGUCUGCUGUGAAAAUCCAGGGCCUAACCCUGGACCUGCAGUGGGUACGGGCAGACUAGAGUGCGGUAGGGGAGAUCGGAAUUCCUGGUGUAGCGGUGAAAUGCGCAGAUAUCAGGAGGAACACCGGUGGCGAAGGCGGAUCUCUGGGCCGUAACUGACGCUGAGGAGCGAAAGCAUGGGGAGCGAACAGG
This 253-nucleotide ribosomal RNA is filed under the name uncultured bacterium. RNAcentral describes it as "partial 16S ribosomal RNA". It matches the Rfam family "Bacterial small subunit ribosomal RNA", at positions 524 to 776 of the family's 1533-position model. The record is from RNAcentral.